GACGAACGCUGGCGGCGUGCUUAACACAUGCAAGUCGAACGGAAAGGCCCUGCUUUUGUGGGGUGCUCGAGUGGCGAACGGGUGUGUAACACGUGAGUAACCUGCCCUUGACUUUGGGAUAACUUCAGGAAACUGUGGCUAAUACCGGAUAGGAGCUCCUGCUGCAUGGUGGGGGUUGGAAAGUUUCGGCGGUUGGGGAUGGACUCGCGGCUUAUCAGCUUGUUGGUGGGGUAGUGGCUUACCAAGGCUUUGACGGGUAGCCGGCCUGAGAGGGUGACCGGCCACAUUGGGACUGAGAUACGGCCCAGACUCCUACGGGAGGCAGCAGUGGGGAAUAUUGCACAAUGGGCGGAAGCCUGAUGCAGCAACGCCGCGUGCGGGAUGACGGCCUUCGGGUUGUAAACCGCUUUCGCCUGUGACGAAGCGUGAGUGACGGUAAUGGGUAAAGAAGCACCGGCUAACUACGUG
RNAcentral lists this ribosomal RNA (468 nucleotides) under uncultured bacterium. Its description in RNAcentral is "partial 16S ribosomal RNA". It matches the Rfam family "Bacterial small subunit ribosomal RNA", at positions 28 to 507 of the family's 1533-position model. The record is from RNAcentral.